CAUAUCAAUAAGCGGAGGAAAAGAAACCAACAGGGAUUGCCCUAGUAACGGCGAGUGAAGCGGCAACAGCUCAAAUUUGAAAUCUGGCGUCUUUGGCGUCCGAGUUGUAAUUUGCAGAGGGCGCUUUGGCAUUGGCAGCGGUCCAAGUUCCUUGGAACAGGACGUCACAGAGGGUGAGAAUCCCGUACGUGGUCGCUAGCCUUUACCGUGUAAAGCCCCUUCGACGAGUCGAGUUGUUUGGGAAUGCAGCUCUAAAUGGGAGGUAAAUUUCUUCUAAAGCUAAAUACUGGCCAGAGACCGAUAGCGCACAAGUAGAGUGAUCGAAAGAUGAAAAGCACUUUGGAAAGAGAGUUAAAAAGCACGUGAAAUUGUUGAAAGGGAAGCGCUUGCAGCCAGACUUGCCUGUAGUUGCUCAUCCGGGUUUCUACCCGGUGCACUCUUCUAUAGGCAGGCCAGCAUCAGUUUGGGCGGUUGGAUAAAGGUCUCUGUCAUGUACCUCCUUUCGGGGAGAACUUAUAGGGGAGACGACAUGCAACCAGCCUGCACCGCGGUCCGCGCAUCUGACUAGCAUGCUGGCUCACUGGCCGUAAGCGGUCCGACUAACCCGACGGCUA
This 614-nucleotide ribosomal RNA is filed under the name Ascochyta medicaginicola. RNAcentral's name for it is "eukaryotic LSU rRNA". It matches the Rfam family "Eukaryotic large subunit ribosomal RNA", at positions 39 to 664 of the family's 3401-position model. Lineage: Eukaryota; Fungi; Ascomycota; Dothideomycetes; Pleosporales; Didymellaceae. The record is from RNAcentral.